RNAcentral lists this long non-coding RNA (1545 nucleotides) under Prunus persica (peach). RNAcentral describes it as "long non-coding RNA (PPER_LNC006075)". The record is from RNAcentral. Lineage: Eukaryota; Viridiplantae; Streptophyta; Magnoliopsida; Rosales; Rosaceae.
AAAAAAGGGAUAUAUUGGCCGAUAUUUUCAUCUUUGAUUCUAUGACAGGCUUUUGGAAAAAAUGGUGAUCUUAAAAAGAUCCAGGAAGCUACCAAAAGGCCUCAUGUUAGAUGGAGGCGGACAUGUACAUAUAAGGCACAUCACCCCCUCUCCAUUGGUCUAUGUGGGAUGUUACAAUCCACCCCCUUUUAGGGGUCUGACGUCCUCGUCGACACACUAGCACCACACGACAGAGUGGCUUUGAUACCAAAUUGUCAUAUCCCGGGAUCGGCUCUGCCGUACCACGAUAUUGUCGGCUUUGGGCCGCCCUCUCUGCCCUCACGAUUUUGUUUUUGGGAACUCACAAGCAACUUCCCAAUGAGUCACCCAUCCUAGGAUUCUUCUAGCCCCAACUCACUUAACUUCGGAGUUGUCAUGACUCCGAAGAUAGUGAGCUCCCAAAAAGCCUCAUGCUAGAUGAAGGCGGGCAUGUAUAUAUAAGGCACAUCACCUCAUCUCCGUUGGUCGAUGUAUGAUGUUACAGAAACAGUCACGAGGAAACAAAUAAAAAGAAAAAAGAAGACUAUUGCCCAAAAUAAUACAUGAGGGACAAAAAUGAUCCCAGUGGAGUCUAGUGAUCGAGCAAUAAUGGCCUCAUUAAAACCUUGUCUUAAAAUACCCCCAAAUGAAGGAAAAUCCAAUAAAGGAAAAAAGAGUACCACUGUAAAGCUUGCUCAUCAACAACAACCAACAUGCAAAACUUGGGCAAGUGGACAAUGAAUAAAUGAUGCACAAAGUGGUCCAACAAAGUCCAAUCCAGGAACGAGUCACAAGACCAACUGAAAAGAACACCAACUGCAACAGCAUCAGCAUCAGACUGCAGCAUGUCUUGUAACUGCUCCACUGCAAAAUUGUCUGCGAAAGGUGAACGCUAUGGUUCUUCAAGAUUGACAAACAACCUCGCAACCAACACCACAAACAAAAGAAGAUUUAGUUAGGAUGCUAAACAAGAUGGAAACUAUUGGAGAUAAGAAUUAAAAUAAGGAAAAGGUGGCUAAAACUAAAAUUCAUAAAAAGAUAAAGGAAAGAAAAAAGCAUAAAAUAAAAUGACAUGCGCUUCAACAAAGGCAAAAACAAGUAGAUGAAGUAAAUAACACCACAUACAAAAAGGAAGAAAACAAAGCUUGAUACUGGGGCAAAAAAACAAAAAUAAAAAUAAAAGCAAAGAAAGAAAAACUACUCCCUGACUUGAAAGAGGAUGUCGCCAUGGAACUGUGGAUACCCAUAACUGUAAGGUUGAAAGAAAAAAUCAACCAAACUGCUUCAAUUGUUCUAGAAAUUCAUGUGUCUCGUCCUCUCCCAAAUCUAGGUACUCUCUCGACAACAACAAUUUCAAGAUCUAACGAUCAUUGAUCCAUCUAUCUCCAUCUCUAUUGAAACCUUUAUCACCACCACCACGAAGAUGGCAUUUUCAGUUUUGGCUACAGUACGCAUUGGAUAACAGCAUCAGGGUCGAUAACUCACCCUCGUUUAGGUUCGCGCUCUGUGGGGUACAUGUGAUUUGUC